GACGAACGCUGGCGGCGUGCCUAAUACAUGCAAGUAGAACGCUGAAGGAAGGAGCUUGCUCUUUCUGGCUGAGUUGCGAACGGGUGAGUAACGCGUAGGUAACCUGCCUGGUAGCGGGGGAUAACUAUUGGAAACGAUAGCUAAUACCGCAUAAAAUUGAUUAUUGCAUGAUAGUCAAUUAAAAGGUGCAACUGCACCACUACCAGAUGGACCUGCGUUGUAUUAGCUAGUUGGUGGGGUAACGGCUCACCAAGGCGACGAUACAUAGCCGACCUGAGAGGGUGAUCGGCCACACUGGGACUGAGACACGGCCCAGACUCCUACGGGAGGCAGCAGUAGGGAAUCUUCGGCAAUGGACGGAAGUCUGAACGAGCAACGCCGCGUGAGUGAAGAAGGUUUUCGGAUCGUAAAGCUCUGUUGUAAGAGAAGAACGAGUGUGAGAGUGGAAAGUUCACACUGUGACGGUAUCUUACCAGAAAGGGACGGCUAACUACGUG
RNAcentral lists this ribosomal RNA (497 nucleotides) under uncultured bacterium. RNAcentral describes it as "partial 16S ribosomal RNA". It matches the Rfam family "Bacterial small subunit ribosomal RNA", at positions 28 to 507 of the family's 1533-position model. The record is from RNAcentral.